Molecule: ribosomal RNA, 252 nt
Filed under: uncultured bacterium
Lineage: Bacteria
Description: partial 16S ribosomal RNA
Rfam family: Bacterial small subunit ribosomal RNA
Source: RNAcentral
UACAGAGGUCCCAAGCGUUGUUCGGAUUUACUGGGCGUAAAGGGUGCGUAGGUGGCGGGGUAAGUCUGGUGUGAAAGCUCCGAGCUCAACUCGGAAAAGCAUUGGAAACUAUCCCGCUGGAGGGUCGGAGGGGAGACUGGAAUUCUCGGUGUAGCAGUGAAAUGCGUAGAUAUCGAGAGGAACACCAGUGGCGAAGGCGAGUCGCUGGACGACUCCUGACACUGAGGCACGAAAGCUAGGGGAGCAAACAGG